UCGACGGUGAUGAGGAGCUUGCUUCUCUGAUCAGUGGCGAACGGGUGAGUAACACGUGAGCAAUCUGCCCUUGACUCUGGGAUAACUGCGGGAAACUGUAGCUAAUACCGGAUACGACCUGAAGAGGCAUCUUUUUGGGUGGAAAGAAUUUUGGUCAAGGAUGAGCUCGCGGCCUAUCAGCUUGUUGGUGAGGUAAUGGCUCACCAAGGCGACGACGGGUAGCCGGCCUGAGAGGGUGACCGGCCACACUGGGACUGAGACACGGCCCAGACUCCUACGGGAGGCAGCAGUGGGGAAUAUUGCACAAUGGGCGCAGGCCUGAUGCAGCAACGCCGCGUGAGGGACGAAGGCCUUCGGGUUGUAAACCUCUUUUAGUAGGGAAGAAGCGACUGGGUUUUCCUGGGAGUGACGGUACCUGCAGAAAAAGCACCGGCUAACUACGUGCCAGCAGCCGCGGUAAUACGUAGGGUGCAAGCGUUGUCCGGAAUUAUUGGGCGUAAAGAGCUCGUAGGCGGUUUGUCGCGUCUGCUGUGAAAACCCGAGGCUCAACCUCGGGCCUGCAGUGGGUACGGGCAGACUAGAGUGCGGUAGGGGAGAUUGGAAUUCCUGGUGUAGCGGUGGAAUGCGCAGAUAUCAGGAGGAACACCAAUGGCGAAGGCAGAUCUCUGGGCCGUAACUGACGCUGAGGAGCGAAAGCAUGGGGAGCGAA
This 709-nucleotide ribosomal RNA is filed under the name uncultured bacterium. RNAcentral's name for it is "bacterial SSU rRNA". It matches the Rfam family "Bacterial small subunit ribosomal RNA", at positions 62 to 772 of the family's 1533-position model. The record is from RNAcentral.